UGGGGAAUUUUGGACAAUGGGCGAAAGCCUGAUCCAGCAAUGCCGCGUGUGUGAAGAAGGCCUUCGGGCUGUAAAGCACUUUUGUCCGGAAAGAAAUCCUUGGCUCUAAUACAGUCGGGGGAUGACGGUACCGGAAGAAUAAGCACCGGCUAACUACGUGCCAGCAGCCGCGGUAAUACGUAGGGUGCAAGCGUUAAUCGGAAUUACUGGGCGUAAAGCGUGCGCAGGCGGUUUGCUAAGACCGAUGUGAAAUCCCCGGGCUCAACCUGGGAACUGCAUUGGUGACUGGCAGGCUAGAGUAUGGCAGAGGGGGGUAGAAUUCCACGUGUAGCAGUGAAAUGCGUAGAGAUGUGGAGGAAUACCGAUGGCGAAGGCAGCCCCCUGGGCCAAUACUGACGCUCAUGCACGAAAGCGUGGGGAGCAAACAGGAUUAGAUACCCUGGUAGUCCACGCCCUAAACGAUGUCAACUAGUUGUUGGGGAUUCAUUUCCUUAGUAACGUAGCUAACGCGUGAAGUUGACCGCCUGGGGAGUACGGUCGCAAGAUUAAAACUCAAAUGAAUUGACGGGGUCAUAGCUGUUUCCU
This 585-nucleotide ribosomal RNA is filed under the name uncultured bacterium. RNAcentral describes it as "partial 16S ribosomal RNA". It matches the Rfam family "Bacterial small subunit ribosomal RNA", at positions 355 to 1375 of the family's 1533-position model. The record is from RNAcentral.